GAAGAUGCCAAGAUGGAACCCACCACUCCCGAGGACAAAAGACUUAGUCCUAACCUUAUUGUUAACUCUUGCUCGACAUAUACAUGCAAGUAUCCGCACUCCAGUGCAAACGCCCUAAACCCCUUACCAAGGCACAAGGAGCAGGCAUCAGGCACACCCACCCACAUGUAGCCCAAAACGCCACGCCCCGCCACACCCCCACGGGUAUUCAGCAGUAAUUAACAUUAAGCAAUAGGCGAAAGCCUGACUUAAUUAGAGCAACCAGGGUUGGUAAAUCUUGUGCCAGCCACCGCGGUCACACAAGAGACCCAAGUUAACCGUAUACGGCGUAAAGAGUGGACCCAAGCUAUCACACCAAACUAAGACCAAACCCUGCCCAAGCCGUCAUAAGCCCAAGGCACCCCUAAGCCCAACCUGAAGACGAUCUUAACACCCACGAUCUACUCUACCCCACCAAAGCCAGGACACAAACUGGGAUUAGAUACCCCACUAUGCCUGGCCUUAAAUCUCAAUGCCUUCCAAACAUAAGCAUCCGCCCGAGAACUACGAGCACAAACGCUUAAAACUCUAAGGACUUGGCGGUGCUCUAAACCCACCUAGAGGAGCCUGUUCUAUAAUCGAUAACCCACGAUUCACCCGACCACUUCUUGCCAAAACAGCCUAUAUACCGCCGUCGCCAGCCCACCUCAUGAGAGCACAACAGUGAGCCCAACAGCCCACAACCCACUAACAAGACAGGUCGAGGUAUAGCCUAUGAAGUGGAAGAAAUGGGCUACAUUUUCUAAAAUAGAAAACCCAACGGAAGAGGACUUGAAACUUGUCCCCAGAAGGCGGAUUUAGCAGUAAAGCAGGAUAACCAAGCCUUCUUUAAGCUGGUCCUAGAGCACGUACACACCGCCCGUCACCCUCCU
This 911-nucleotide non-coding RNA is filed under the name Cyanoliseus patagonus (burrowing parakeet). Its description in RNAcentral is "partial 12S ribosomal RNA". It matches the Rfam family "Bacterial small subunit ribosomal RNA". Lineage: Eukaryota; Metazoa; Chordata; Aves; Psittaciformes; Psittacidae. The record is from RNAcentral.